Small nuclear RNA from Suricata suricatta (meerkat), 169 nucleotides. Its record names the gene U2. It matches the Rfam family "U2 spliceosomal RNA". Rfam says of the family: U2 is a small nuclear RNA (snRNA) component of the spliceosome (involved in pre-mRNA splicing). Lineage: Eukaryota; Metazoa; Chordata; Mammalia; Carnivora; Herpestidae. The record is from Ensembl.
AUCGUUUCUCGGCCUUUUGGCUAAGAUCAAGUGUAGUAUCUGUUCUUAUCAGUAUACUCCCUUUUUCCCCCCUCUGUUGAGGUAACUGAGGUUCAGAGAAAUUAAAUAAUAUGCCCAAGGUCUCUCACAGCUGAUACAUGACAAAAUGAAAACCAAACCUUGACCCGUC